UCGAUUAGCCACCCCUCCACCGCCUUGGAUCGAUUUGACGCUGUGACAACUAUGCUUCUAUUUGUUUUAAAUUUUGACCUUUCACAACCCUUCGCCCCUACUGUGAGCAGCACUGUGGACGUCCUCAUCAUUGAAGAUUAGCCUCAGCCGACUACUACAUGGCAGUUCGGUACUACAAUAGUGCUUAAGGUGCACCAAUUGACAACACUACUACCACUGCCAUCCUCUAUUACAAGUUUGCCUCCUGUCUUACAAAGAUCCGUUGAUUUUUUCCCUCUCAUGAUCCUCAUCCUAAAGUUUGACCUCUUGUUAAUGUAGACUAGGAUAUGGGUUUAACCAAGUCUCAGCUUUAGGAUCUUUUAAUCUAAGAACAACCAUAACCACCCCAACAACAUAAUAGAAAAUCAGAAUAAUAUAAGAUAGUCCAGCAAGCUAUCGACUUCAAUAUGGCAGUACUAAUCAGGCCAAAUCAACAACAACCUUUAGAACUAAACCAGGGACUGAAAGUAGUUCAAUUGGAUUAAAAAAAAAACUGUAAUCCAUGAACCAAAGUCUAACACAACAAGAUUCAAACCAGUCCAAUCGAUGUCAGUUUCAGAAGUUUUGUAAUUGAAUGGUAACCAGAAAACAGGGACUUUAAAGCACCAAUAUUUGAGACUAAGCCAUGAAGCAUAAAACCAGCAACCAAUCAGCUAUAUCCAGAACAGAUCGAUUCACAAAUCUGGGCAGAAAUUAGGGUUGGCCAGAGUAGGGAGAAAUCCCAUAACUGCUGAUUCCCUGGUCUGAUGAACCUCAAAUUAAGAUCAAGUUCCUCUCUAUAUAAUCUUAACACUUGAUCAAAAAAAGAGAGCCAUCGGAUGGCUGGAUCAUCAGAACAGUAUGGGGGCAGUAAGAGAGAAACUUGAAAUUUCCAGAGCCAGAAAUCAAAAGCAGUUCAGAUCCCUUACUUGGUUUGAAGAACCUUGCAAUUAACUUUGAAAAGAAAGAAAGAAUAGUUGAAGAGACCUCUUGGACUUCAUGCCGUAAAGAGUCAAUUGGAUCAAACACCAAUUCCUUUAGCCUUGAUCAAACACAAGACCACCACUUUGAUCAAACACAAAGUAAUCUUAGCAGAGACAUUGCAGCAACAACUGUUCUUUUGUUUGUAUAAAUCGUGGGCUACUAAUGAGCCUACUCCUUUAUUUAUAAUAAUGAUGGGGGGUGCUUACAAUUUAGUAACUUCAAAGUUACUGAAAAACUGAAAUAAAGAUUACUAAAAUCUAGUUACUAAAUCGGGAAAAGUAAACUAGGAAAUAAAACAACUGGAAUUAGAAACUAACUUAUGACUGAAAAUUAGAAACUAACUAGGUAUUGAAAUUAGAAACUAAUUAAUCCCAUCAAAAUCCAACUAAAAAGGAAACCAAUGAAAAAAGGGAACUAACUAGUAAUCCCGCACUCAAUCUUAGAGCCCUCGUUUAGACUCAUAAAAGUGGUCUAUUACACUCAAAACACAUGGGAUCAAAUGCCUAACAUUUAUGGAACCUAACCCUAGGUUUAUUCGUAAUAAAAUAAGCCUAGUUUGGUUAUUAAUCUGCAUCACUUGUUGUAGAUUUGGGUUUCAAAACUAGAAUCGGAUCGCUUAUGGGCCCACAAAAUAAUAGAUAAUUCAAGUUGAGAUUUAAAUGCAAAUCUGUAAAUAUGUGAAAGUCUAGAAGGGAAUGGCAAACUUGCAAAUAAUUGGAAGUUUCUAAUAAGGAGUUGCAGGUUUGCAAAUAAACAGAAUAUGUAAGGGUCUAAUAUCUUAAUAUGGGAGGACACGAAGGUGAUCAGUAUUUAUUUUGUAGGGGUAAACUAGGAAGCAAAGUUAAAGUUUAGGCUAUAGGUUAAUAAUAGGGUAAAGGAAGGGUAUUUUAGAAACAAAAGGGACAAAGCUAAAAGACUAAAGAAUUGUGGGAAGGGGUUAGUCUUCUUCAACCUUUGAAGUUGUUUGCAGGCAUUGGAACCAGCGGAAUCUAGAGGAAGAACACUUUCGAUUUCUGAUGGCUGGGUUUGAGGUUUUAAGCGAAGGUCCAAAGUCCUGUAUGCAUGCUCUAAUGGUUCGGAUAAUCAGCAACCAUGGGAGAUAUAACCCUUUGUGCAAUCAGACCUGGGUGGUAGCUUUAGAUAACCUGAGUUGUAAGUCUCAUUUCUCACAACAGGGAUGGUCUUAUGGCAAGAAGCUCUAAGGGUUUGGUCAUCCAAGGAAGGGCUACCUUCGACACAAAUUUCAAGGAGAAAGGGGUACUGUUGAGGGAGAUUGACUUCAGGGUUUAGAGAUAUUAGAACCGUGCAAAACUGGAUUUUAAAAUCACAAACAAGAAGAAAGAAGAUGAAAGAACAGAGAAAGAAAAAAUAAAUCAGAGAUGGAGAGGGAGAAAGGCACGCAAGGCACUCAUGGUUCAAGCCAAACUUCAAUCAAUAUCACUUCUUCCAAUUCUAGUCCCAUCAUUGGGAACAAGACUCUUUUCAGACUUGGAAAUAACCUACUUUCCUAUUUCUAAAACUGAAACAAAUAUGGAAUCCAAAUCACAUAUAACUUGACUCUCAUGCUAU
This is a long non-coding RNA of Macadamia integrifolia, 2571 nucleotides long. RefSeq lists it as uncharacterized. The transcript is spliced from 2 exons. The record is from RefSeq and is a predicted model, not a curated record. NCBI's taxonomy places the organism in Eukaryota, Viridiplantae, Streptophyta, Magnoliopsida, Proteales, Proteaceae.